UACGGAGGGUGCAAGCGUUGUUCGGAAUUAUUGGGCGUAAAGCGCGUGUAGGCGGUCAUGUAAGUCAGAUGUGAAAGCCUUCCGCUUAACGGGAGAAGUGCAUUUGAGACUACAUGACUGGAGUACGGGAGAGGAGAGUGGAAUUCCCGGUGUAGAGGUGAAAUUCGUAGAUAUCGGGAGGAACACCAGUGGCGAAGGCGGCUCUCUGGCCUGAUACUGACGCUGAGACGCGAAAGCGUGGGGAGCAAACAGG
This 253-nucleotide ribosomal RNA is filed under the name uncultured bacterium. RNAcentral describes it as "partial 16S ribosomal RNA". It matches the Rfam family "Bacterial small subunit ribosomal RNA", at positions 524 to 776 of the family's 1533-position model. The record is from RNAcentral.